CGGACGGGUGAGGAACACAUCGGAAUCUACCCUGUCGUGGGGGGACAACGUAGGGAAACUUACGCUAAUACCGCAUACGACCUUUGGGUGAAAGCGGGGGACUCGCAAGGGCCCCGCGCGAUUGGAUGAGCCGAUGUCCGAUUAGCUAGUUGGCGGGGUAAUGGCCCACCAAGGCGACGAUCGGUAGCUGGUCUGAGAGGACGACCAGCCACACUGGAACUGAGACACGGUCCAG
RNAcentral lists this ribosomal RNA (235 nucleotides) under uncultured bacterium. RNAcentral's name for it is "partial 16S ribosomal RNA". It matches the Rfam family "Bacterial small subunit ribosomal RNA", at positions 99 to 334 of the family's 1533-position model. The record is from RNAcentral.